GGGUUGUGAGGUUAAGCGACUAAGCGUACACGGUGGAUGCCCUGGCAGUCAGAGGCGAUGAAGGACGUGCUAAUCUGCGAUAAGCGUCGGUAAGGUGAUAUGAACCGUUAUAACCGGCGAUUUCCGAAUGGGGAAACCCAGUGUGUUUCGACACACUAUCAUUAACUGAAUCCAUAGGUUAAUGAGGCGAACCGGGGGAACUGAAACAUCUAAGUACCCCGAGGAAAAGAAAUCAACCGAGAUUCCCCCAGUAGCGGCGAGCGAACGGGGAGGAGCCCAGAGCCUGAAUCAGUGUGUGUGUUAGUGGAAGCGUCUGGAAAGGCGCGCGAUACAGGGUGACAGCCCCGUACACAAAAAUGCACAUGCUGUGAGCUCGAUGAGUAGGGCGGGACACGUGGUAUCCUGUCUGAAUAUGGGGGGACCAUCCUCCAAGGCUAAAUACUCCUGACUGACCGAUAGUGAACCAGUACCGUGAGGGAAAGGCGAAAAGAACCCCGGCGAGGGGAGUGAAAAAGAACCUGAAACCGUGUACGUACAAGCAGUGGGAGCACAGAGCAAUCUGUGUGACUGCGUACCUUUUGUAUAAUGGGUCAGCGACUUAUAUUCUGUAGCAAGGUUAACCGAAUAGGGGAGCCGAAGGGAAACCGAGUCUUAACUGGGCGUUAAGUUGCAGGGUAUAGACCCGAAACCCGGUGAUCUAGCCAUGGGCAGGUUGAAGGUUGGGUAACACUAACUGGAGGACCGAACCGACUAAUGUUGAAAAAUUAGCGGAUGACUUGUGGCUGGGGGUGAAAGGCCAAUCAAACCGGGAGAUAGCUGGUUCUCCCCGAAAGCUAUUUAGGUAGCGCCUCGUGAAUUCAUCUCCGGGGGUAGAGCACUGUUUCGGCAAGGGGGUCAUCCCGACUUACCAACCCGAUGCAAACUGCGAAUACCGGAGAAUGUUAUCACGGGAGACACACGGCGGGUGCUAACGUCCGUCGUGAAGAGGGAAACAACCCAGACCGCCAGCUAAGGUCCCAAAGUCAUGGUUAAGUGGGAAACGAUGUGGGAAGGCCCAGACAGCCAGGAUGUUGGCUUAGAAGCAGCCAUCAUUUAAAGAAAGCGUAAUAGCUCACUGGUCGAGUCGGCCUGCGCGGAAGAUGUAACGGGGCUAAACCAUGCACCGAAGCUGCGGCAGCGACGCUGAUGCGUUGUUGGGUA
This 1200-nucleotide ribosomal RNA is filed under the name Escherichia coli. RNAcentral's name for it is "partial 23S ribosomal RNA". It matches the Rfam family "Bacterial large subunit ribosomal RNA", at positions 1 to 1230 of the family's 2925-position model. The record is from RNAcentral. Lineage: Bacteria; Pseudomonadati; Pseudomonadota; Gammaproteobacteria; Enterobacterales; Enterobacteriaceae.